Long non-coding RNA from Calypte anna (Anna's hummingbird), 1477 nucleotides. RefSeq lists it as uncharacterized. The transcript is spliced from 2 exons. NCBI's taxonomy places the organism in Eukaryota, Metazoa, Chordata, Aves, Apodiformes, Trochilidae. The record is from RefSeq and is a predicted model, not a curated record.
AGAAAAUUUAUAAAAUAAAGCAAGUAUAUAUAAAAUACUCUUAAUAUCCCCUACUGUGAACUGUUACAUUGCAUGUACUAAAUCAGGUUAGGUGAAAGAGACCUAUGCACUUCUACAGAUAGUCAGGUACAACAGGGAACUUGGCAGAUGUAAUUUGUGUCAUCUUGGCAAGAUUAAUCAAUGUAAAUGAGUAAUAUAGCUGCAAUUCAUUGUACUUAAAACUGGUAAGGUGAUGACAGUUAAUUCAGGUAUGCUCAUUAACUUGAUCAGUAUUAUAUUUAUAGCAGAUGUUCCUUCUGCCUUUAGUUCCACCUUGACAUUUGAUGGUGAAUGUGUUGAUUAUUGUUUGACUGUACUGUCAUUCAGUCAUGUCUAGAUCCUUUUUUGACUAUUUUAGUUUUCAUAGGAAACUAGCAAAGGUGAUCACAAUAUGUAAUGAGACUGGAAGUGUAUGUGAACUUGCCCACAUUUUCUACAUCCUUAUCUUUGAAACUUAUUGCUUAUCUGAUUGCUUCUCUGCAAUGACUUAGCUUUCUAAAACUGGUAUUGGUGCUCCACAGAUUCUUCUUAAUGCUGUCUGUCUGCCUGAAAUGAACACUGACUGUGUUCAUGAACACCCUAACUCACUGUAAGUGGCAUAUGCAGAACUGGUUCCAUACAAGGUCACCUUUGGAGUUGUAAUAGUUUAAUUUCUGUGUGGCUGUUUGCCCUGUAGAUGAAGUAAUGCCCCAACUUUUCCAAAUGCACUUAUCACUUAUUGAUAGUGGACAGAGUGUCAUGGUGGCCAGCUGUCUACCUGUGUGUGAUCUGGUUCUCUAUUGCUAAACCUUUACCAAGUUAAUAAUAUGUUAUUUAAAGUGCUCUGUUACUAAGGGUAGUUGUAAAUGAAAUAGCUGGCUGAAGCUCUAAAUUGAGGAUGGCCAAGAAAUGGUCAUUGGGGUCUGCUCACAAAUUUCCCUUGCAUUCUGCCCCUAGUGCAUUGUCUCAUGAUCUGGGAGCAUCUUUGCAGAUGGGACAUCUAGGAGCUCGAGCUGAAGAGAGAGAGGAUGCAUUAAGUACAGGCAGGACCUUCCCUUUUGGCUGGACUUUGUCACAGAAACCAGCUGUAUUCUGUCUUGACUUAGGAAGUCACAGGAAAGAGUUAGCCAAGAUCAGCCCAUUUCAUCCUCAGGUUUGUUAGAUGUUUUUUUGAAUUUCCAAGAUGUCUCUGGCUUGCUGGUACAUUUAGAUGUACUUUUUGAUUACUGGAAUGUGAUUAUCAAGUUAGUGGUCAAAUAUUUUGACUAACAACUAAAUUUGUGCAUCAAUGGUGCAAUACUAAGACUAAGCAUUCUGCAAGUUAUAUGCCAUUUCUACCACAUGGACAGUAUGAUAAAAGGGCAUGAAGCCCACUAAAGAUAAAGUGAUGUUGUAUGUAACUUGUUCAAUGUUCUCUUAACAUGUUUUGUAAUAAAAGAAAAAAAAAGUUCUAAUAUCA